Molecule: ribosomal RNA, 158 nt
Filed under: Ceratocystis cacaofunesta
Lineage: Eukaryota; Fungi; Ascomycota; Sordariomycetes; Microascales; Ceratocystidaceae
Description: 5.8S ribosomal RNA
Rfam family: 5.8S ribosomal RNA
About the family: 5.8S ribosomal RNA (5.8S rRNA) is a component of the large subunit of the eukaryotic ribosome. It is transcribed by RNA polymerase I as part of the 45S precursor that also contains 18S and 28S rRNA. Functionally, it is thought that 5.8S rRNA may be involved in ribosome translocation.
Source: RNAcentral
AAACUUUCAACAACGGAUCUCUUGGCUCUAGCAUCGAUGAAGAACGCAGCGAAAUGCGAUAAGUAAUGUGAAUUGCAAAAUUCAGUGAAUCAUCGAAUCUUUGAACGCACAUUGCGCCUGGCAGUAUUCUGCCAGGCAUGCCUGUCCGAGCGUCAUUU